Molecule: long non-coding RNA, 3501 nt
Organism: Corythoichthys intestinalis (scribbled pipefish)
Lineage: Eukaryota; Metazoa; Chordata; Actinopteri; Syngnathiformes; Syngnathidae
Exons: 3
Source: RefSeq, a predicted model, not a curated record
CCGCGGCCAGCGGUCCUCUUCGCGUGCCCGCCGAGAGGGCGCUAUACUUGGCUUAUGCUCAUACAAUUCUGCAAUUCUCCAUAUUGUCCAGACUUCCAGCUUUCUCUGCCGUCUUUGUGUGCCCAGCAAUAGACCACUAUCCUCAGGUUGGGCUCGGGCAGCCACACGCUCCUCCGACGUCAGCAGGUUUGUCCGGCGGUCAUUCUCCAACUUCUUACCCGGCAACGAGCAUUCCUGCCCGCAGCCGGAAAACGACGAGAUGAAACUUGCUCACCGCCGGAGGCUGGCCGAUCGGUGAAGGCUGUCACCCUCGCCGACGUGUGUGACAUGAGUUGGGGUAGUUUGGUGCUAUUUUUCGUUUUCCAAAGGCAAAAAAGAUUGGAACUGCCGCUCAGCGGUCAUUCUCCAGCUGCUUCCCUGGCAACGAGCACUCCUGCCCGUAGCAGGGGAACGACGAGCUGUAACAUGCUCACCGCCAGAGGGUUGGCCGAUCGGUGAAGACAAUCAACCUCGCCGCCGUGUGAAAUUGUCCGGGGUAGUUUUGUGUGCUUUUUUUGUUUUCCAAUGGCGAGAAUAACACUUUGAAACACCGUUAGGUCCGGGUUAGCAUGUCGGCUAGCUGUCACGCCUCCUGUUUCGUUUACACUCUUUCCUCCGUCUCCGAAGCCAAGGCAGGGAAAUGACAAAAGCAGGACUAACUCCAGUGGCAUAAAAUGCCGUUGAGUUGUUGAAGUCAUAAUUUUGCCCUGUCGUACUGAAUAAAUGCAUUUUUAAUAUUUCAAAUUCCAUUUAGCACAAGACUAUUAUUUAUCAUGACCAUACCAUUUAUUUAGCAAUUGGGGAAAAAAUACUUCGAUAAAAAGAAUAUCCUGUAAAAAUACUGGAGUAGACAGAUUGAAACAAUGACAUUUUGUUGCUCUAUUUGUCGUAUUUUCCUCGCUCUGAAUCUUCCCCCUCAAUGGGCUGAAUUCUAAAUCAGAUGAAAUUGUGACCCUCCGGCGUCAUCCUGCAGCUAGGGAUGCUAGAGCGCUAUAAUGACAGACGGGGCUAAACGGCAGAUUAAAAGAGUAAUUUCUAGUUAUCUGUGCGUUGCCAAAUUGUUGUAUAUAGUCGAAUCGUCUCAAACUAUGAUUCUAAUUCACAUAAUAAUGCUGUCACAGGCACUUUAAUCAAUUUUAUUCACCACAGAAUUACAGUGUUACCUUGGUGUAGUGAAACUGCAUGGGGUCGUCUGUAGAUAGGGACACACAAAGGCCUUUGUGCAGGAACUCCCGCAAAGGGUUUUUCGAGUAUUCCAAGAACAGGCUGUUGUUGCUCAAGGGUGACAUUGCAAUGGGUACUUGAGCCAAGUAGUAUAAAUAUUGAAGCACAGGGCUCUACAAGUGGGGAAUAAAAGAAAUACUCUUGAUAUUUUACUGCUAGGUUGACUCCAUUUAUCUAAUUUAAGUCCCUACUGAUUAUUUAAGCCAGGAGGUCAGUGUGACGUACCUUCUUCAAAUUGAGCCCAUGUGAGAUGUUGUCUGCUGUCAGGAAGGCAGAUACCAGAUGAGUGAUGGAUCCUGCUUCUCCACAGUGUGGGCGAAACUGGAAGGUGCUGAGGCCACGUUCCCUACCGACCACAUGACGUGAACACUACAGGCUACAAAGUUAAGUUGACGAGAUGCCGAAAGAAUGAGCUCUCACUUUCUGAGGUUGUUGAGGACCAUGAUGUUUGCAUACAUAUGGAAGAGGUAGUAGCUGUAUGGAGGGUUAUCAUCUCCGGUCCACUGUUCAGGCUUUGGGCUCCGAAACGAAAACAUGUGAUCACUGUGCUUGGACUCGUCAUCUACGCUGUCAAAGCCCGACACCUGUGUACACAUUACUUUCUUGUCAAUAAUUAAUUAUUUUUAUUAAUUUCAAUGUCACGACGUUAUCCACCUUACAUAUUUGAGGAACACGUGAAGCUCUUUAUGAGUUUGAGGAUGAAUGGUUGCCUCAAAGAGGGGAAGGAAUAUAUUCUCAAGAAUCUUGGCAAAAUUAGGCACCAGCUGCUUUGACCUAAAAAUAUCACUUAAAAAUAUGGAGUUGAAGUUAAAUGUUGACGUACACAAUAUAAAAAGGCACACUUUUUUCUUUCUGGCUUGAGAAGAUUCUGAUAAUUUCAUUGACAUUUGAGCUAUAAAUAGAGGUUCGCCUUGUGUAGAACUGUUUUGAAAUUACACCCAAGGAUGACCCAGACUUCUGAGAAUUCACAGUUCACGAUUUCUUUUGACUUACUUAAGUUAGACGCUAGAUGUUAACUUAAAUGUCAGAAGCUUGCCAAGACAUGACAUCAUUAUCUGUUUUCCCAUUUUUUUCACAGGCAAAUUUUAGGUUUACUGAAUGUAAACUUUUAACCUUGUCUAAAUGAAAUGUAAAGAAUGCCAGGAAUUAAAGAAGGAUGACUCACUAUAUUCUGGGCACUUGAAUAACCCAUCUCAUGUUUGGAGAGUGUACUUUGUGCAGAAUAAACCACUUGGCCAGGCUGUGCCACUCAUCUGGAGAGCGUCCGUAGAUGGACAAGCGAGGCUCGGCAUGCUGAUAUUUACUUUCCUCCAAGUCGUGGGCUACUUCCUGGAAAAGAAUGGCAGUAUUCUGGCACUGAAGAACACAACGAGCUGGAGCUAGGAGACACGUAUGGCGUUGGAGGCCGCGGCCAUGCCCAAUCUGGAUUUCCGGAGAUCUGCAUGGACAUGGACUGGGAACGAAUCAUCUUCAAACUUUUGCGCCUGAGCGCUGUUCUGCCAACUCCUUCAUCAGCUCAUGCUCUUUGGCUUGCUGUAGGCCAAUGGGGCAGUCCUCAGGCACCGUGAACAUGGACAAAACAUCCUUCUGGUCUUCUUCUUUUAGGGCCGAAGCGUACACUUUUUCCACCAAAAGUUGACUCUCUUCAGCCUCACUUAAAGUGACCUUGGGAAAUUGGCGAGGCAUGUCUGCACUUUGGGGAAAAAAUGGAAUCAAGUAAGUGCGGACAGAAACUACUGCGUGUUCUUAUCGAAAGAGGAGGUUAGUCGGUCGAACUGUUUUGGAAACAAACAGGUCGUCACAGGGGAUGGUUUGUGUGUAGUGAGGACAUGGACUUAACAUGGAUGCAAUGCCAGAGUCAGACUUGCUGAAUGUUAUUUAAUUUACAUGUGCUAGGGUGCUUCCAGGAAGCAUAAUUGUCAUCCUGUUUCUGGACCAAAAGUGUGCACUGCAGUAGAGCAUUAGACAGAAAUGUGAUAUGCUUUAUUGAUUUGCAGAUGGAAACCUUUUAAAUUAUUCAGUUAAAUACAUGAGCUUGGACUUCCUCUUCCUCUACCCUAAGACAAACUUGUUGCUUUGAGAGCAACACUUCCUCUUCUCAUGUUUUCUUUCUCAGAAGGAUCAAUGCAAAUACAGUCAACUGCACUCAGUCUUGAAUGUACUUUCCUGACUACUGUAAUUACUUUGUUUGGGAGUUACUGUUGCAUUCUGGUUUCACGGCAGCAGGUGGCAGCUCGU